RNAcentral lists this ribosomal RNA (440 nucleotides) under uncultured bacterium. RNAcentral describes it as "partial 16S ribosomal RNA". It matches the Rfam family "Bacterial small subunit ribosomal RNA", at positions 338 to 795 of the family's 1533-position model. The record is from RNAcentral.
CCUACGGGCGGCAGCAGUGGGGAAUAUUGCACAAUGGGGGAAACCCUGAUGCAGCGACGCCGCGUGAGUGAAGAAGUAUUUCGGUAUGUAAAGCUCUGUCAGCAGGGAAGAAAAUGACGGUACCUGACCAAGAAGCCCCGGCUAACUACGUGCCAGCAGCCGCGGUAAUACGUAGGGGGCAAGCGUUAUCCGGAUUUACUGGGUGGAAAGGGAGCGUAGACGGCAGGGCAAGUCUGGAGUGAAAGGCGGGGGCCCAACCCCCGGUCUGCUCUGGAAACUGCCAGGCUGGAGUGCAGGAGAGGUAAGUGGAAUUCCUAGUGUAGCGGUGAAAUGCGUAGAUAUUAGGAGGAACACCAGUGGCGAAGGCGGCUUACUGGACUGUAACUGACGUUGAGGCUCGAAAGCGUGGGGAGCAAACAGGAUUAGAUACCCUUGUAGUC